ACACAGAUCGGGAGGCAGCUUGUGCAAGUGUACCCUCGGAAAAAGCACAUUGAUCCAGUUGUUACCAAAAGAGAUUGGCUGCCCUCGGAGUUGCCGCUACUACCUUGCGGAGUCGAUGGGAGCCAUGCUUGUCGCCGUCCUACACAAGGUGUCCAGCGAGAAAUUCAACGCCUUUACUCUUCAAAGUGGACCUCAACCGUCAUGAGCUAACUCGAGUGCUCAGCCUAGGUGACCGGGCGCUGUUCCUUAGUGAUGACCGGUGCCUAUCUGUCUCAGCCAUGAAUCAACCUUCCAUCAGCAGCAACUGCAUCUACUUUGCCAUGCCGAAGACUGUAAACACUGUGUUGGUGCAUUCACUCAGUGAUGGCUCGUUUGAAAGUUUGUCAAUGCUGCACCUGGACGACAAGCCGACAGUGGUAGCAUGGACGUCUGUGCAGCCCUACACACUUGCUGAUCACCUGCUCAUCUACUGCCACCAUCGUAAGUGGGCAAGAGGGAUAAUGUUCCAUGAAUUUUACUUCAUAAUCAGUUGUUGGGACAAGCUAAGAAAGAAGAUCAUCGAACAGGAUUCAGAAGUUGUUCCGAGAUUGAGAGGAACACCUGACCAGCUGAAGAAGCUAGAGGUCCCUAACUUUUUAACCAUCAUGACUUCGUUGGCAAGGAUUGGAGGCAAAAGACCAAGGCUUACUGAAUAGUGAAUGAUAUUGAGAUGGUUCGAGUGUUGCUAUAGGUAGCAUGCUCUUGUGAGACAACAGGGUUCAGGGCAUGUGCCCUGCUCUAUUUAUCUAAUAUAUGUAUUGUACUACUGCAAUAUUUUCAUUAUUCAUUAUGCAUGUCGUCAUAAGACAAUUCUAUGUCAGUUUCAUUAUGUAUUCUAUAUAUGCCAUUUUGCGGUCAAAUAUACCAGAGCCUUUAUGCUAUUUCAUGUCAUUUAUGACUUUUUAUCUUCUCAGGCUUCGGACUGCUUUCAACCUAUUUCUUCCCUGCUUUCAUAUGCCUUGCAUUUGUGAUAAUAUUUGUUGCCUUGGGAUUUGAGGUCUUUUGUUGUUUCUCUUCCUUUAUUUUCUUUUUGUAGAUUUAAUUUGAUGAACUUUGUUUCACUGGUACCUGUACAUCAAUGUCUUGGUAGUUUGAUUUCUCAAAUAUGUACUCUACAUCAAACUAUAUCUGUAUAUGAUUUAUUUGAGGCACUGGCUUACGUAAAGGUAUUGGCAAUGUGGUAUAAUCAACAGUAUGGUGUACUUGGGGGCCUAACAGUAUGGUGUACUUGGGGCCUACUAGAUAAAUGUGUUACGGUGAUUGAAAGUAUACCAUUUAUUUAUAAAAUAAGGAAUUUACAGUGUUGUUUCGUCGAAGGAAACCUCUAGGUGCAUUUCGCAUAUGUUGGUGAUCUGAGUUCUAAAAUUAUGCUGCAUUCAUUCUGUGCUGACAGCUUGAAUAAAUAACCUGGCCGGUACCUAAGCAACAUUGUGAGUUAACUAUGUUUCUGAAGUAUAAUGUCGAAGCUGAGUGUUUGUCUUUGUCCAAACAAUUUCAAGGUCCUCUAAUGCAUAUAGACAAUUAAGGAAAUCAUGAUUGUUUAAUUUUCUUUUGUUCUACUAACCCAUCCAAAAUGACAUCAAGAUAAGAGAUACUAUUAGUAAAUCCUUUUGCAAUCAUUGUAUAAUCAUUUCUUUAUAUAUAGGUCGUGUUGUUUAAACCAUGCAAGGAUUCUGCAUUACUGGAUUUUCUUUCACGUGAUCAAUUUGGCUAGAAUAACAUAGUAUUUAUUCUGUCUAUGAGUACAAGGUAGAUCUAAGAUAGCCUCACUAGUUUUGCUUUUUUGUUCUUUUCUUUGUUGAUACUUAUUGUCCUUUUCUUUGUUGCCUUGCUGAUUCCAUGCAGCGAAACAGCCACAAUGUUUACAUAGUUUUAUUUUUUGUCCUAUGCUUACAGUCCGCAACAAUCAAACUGUUUAAUGGUUAAUAUAUAUAACUGCAAUUUUUGUAUGGUACAACUGUAAUUAAUUUUCUUUUUGAGUUUCAUACAAACUCUAAGGCCAAAACACUUUUGAUGGCUUUGUUCAUAGUGAUUAACUUAUGGUUGGACAAUAGGUGAAAUUUAUUUGUUUUGGCUUGUAUCUUCUACUCUUAUUGAAAUGAAGUUAUUGAAACUGUUAUUGUUCUUAGAUGUACUAUCGGAGGUUGGUGCCUUUUGAAAUGAAGUUUUGUUUUACCUGCAGUGUUGUCUUGGCUCCCUCGAGAUUCAACAUGGUGAAGGGGAUGAACUUGUAACUUGUAGAUGCUUGAGACAUCAGAGCCUUCCUAACGUAUGGAUGAAUGUUUAUAUGGCUCUAGAUGAUGAUCUGGUUGUUUAUUGUGCAGCAAUAUGCAGGUCUAUGCUGAACAUGAUCAGAGCCUUUUUGGACGCAUCUAUUGAUAUGUGCCAGGACCCUGCUAUCUUUACUCGUGACCGGAACAUUGAUCUGGUGCUUGAAGACAUUGAUGCUGCUCCUCUGGUGGGCCCAACAUAUCAUCACCCUCCUCUGUCCUCUCCCUCCAUCGACGGUGGCGCUCGGCCGGUGGUGGCGCAGCUGGCUCCACGCGAACGCCCGCCCGUGCGCUCGGCCGCUCCCGUGCCUACCUGCGCCGCCGGCUCUCGUCCUGGAUCCGUUACGGCCUCCGGUAAGCGCCUCGCGCGGGAGCCCCUGGAGCUUUGCCAAGCUCUUGGCACCUCCCGAGCUUGAACUGCCGCCUCCUCUGCAGCACAGACCUGUACAGGAACGCCGUCGGAGACAGCCCAAUCUUCAUCCCCAAAAUUGGAUCGGUGUCCGCCGGCCGAUCUGUGCAAUCUAUUCUCAGAUUGCCUCCGCCGUGCCUGCAGAGUUCCUGGUGAUUUGAUGAAUCACGCCCUCAUUGGAUUAGUAUAGCCUUCAUUGGUGGAGAUAUUUUGCAGGAGAAUGUUAUUUCCCUUCUUGUUGGUUUAUGGUGUGUUGAUCGAUUUACACUUUCAGUCAUUUUAUAUUGAAGAAGGAUUUUGUUAGUAGAAAAGAAUGAAUACUAAUUGGUUUUAUUUUCCUUGUGCAUUGGCUAGUGAAUGAGGAUUUUAUCAGCUAGGACUGUAACUAUAUUCUAGUAAUUCUUCUAUGUGCUCCGAAUUAUCUACAUGCUCUGAAUUAAUUUGCUAUUAUUUGUAGUUGUUUAACUGUUUUUGUCUUUCGAAUGACUGCGAGCAAGCCGCCGGCGCUUUGAAUUCAACCUCGGUGAUUCAAUGGCUAUCAAAUUUAACACUCAACGGCGCGCAAAGUGGCAGCGCCUGAAGGAGCAGGGGGCACGGCGGAUGCAGGCCGCCAUCACCACCAUAGCAGCUGCGCCCACAGACGAGGCACCAGCCGACCGGCGGGCGGGGGAACAAGGCCGGCAGAUGUGCUCGGUAGUGUGGGUACCGGGUACUGGGUUGGGUGGACAGCAUCAUGGCAGAUGUGCUCGUAGUGUGGCGGCUGCAAGGGCACUCCGCACUCGUCUGCCGCCGGUGGUAUCCGUGGUUAGCAACUCAAAUCUGGUACAACUGUCAGCAAAGGAGCUUCUAGCACAGCAUUUUUUUUCUUUGAUCGGUCUGGCACAGCAUUGGUUGCUGCAGCUGCAGCUGCCUUCUGGUGUUCGAGCUAAGUCACGUUGCCGCUGCAAGUAUCAAAGUGUUCAUGUGCAAGAUGGGAAAACCACGUCGAGUCUGUUAGUCCACAGUUGGAAGAGGAAGAAUGCGAGGAUCAAACUAUGAUUGUUUGGAUUAGUAUAUCUGUGUAAAUAUCUUCAAACAUGUUGUACCAAAAGAAAUAUGUGAAAUUUUAAGCUUACUAGUUACGAAUGCAAUUGUCCCAGAAUAAACAAAAGAAAACCUAGCUGGUUGUUAGCAUGUGGCUGUGGAAAUCAGAAGUAUAUACGUUUGUAGCAUGUGGUCGUUAUUUAAGAGUUCAACUCUCGAUUGCAUCAUCAA
Molecule: long non-coding RNA, 3972 nt
Organism: Panicum virgatum (switchgrass)
Lineage: Eukaryota; Viridiplantae; Streptophyta; Magnoliopsida; Poales; Poaceae
Exons: 4
Source: RefSeq, a predicted model, not a curated record